Molecule: ribosomal RNA, 496 nt
Filed under: uncultured bacterium
Lineage: Bacteria
Description: partial 16S ribosomal RNA
Rfam family: Bacterial small subunit ribosomal RNA
Source: RNAcentral
GAUGAACGCUGGCGGCGUGCCUAAUACAUGCAAGUAGAACGCUGAAGGAGGGAGCUUGCUCUUUCCGGAUGGGUGGCGAACGGGUGAGUAACGCGUAGGUAACCUGCCUGGUAGCGGGGGGUGACUAUUGGGAACGAUAGCUAAUACCGCAUAACAGUAGAUGUUGCAUGAUAUCUACUUAAUAGGUGCAUUUGCACCACUACCAGAUGGAUCUGCGUUGUAUUAGCUAGUUGGUGAGGUAACGGCUCACCAAGGCGACGAUACAUAGCCGGCCUGAGAGGGUGAUCGGCCACACUGGAACUGAGACACGGCCCAGACUCCUACGGGAGGCAGCAGUGGGGAAUCUUCGGCAAUGGGCGGAAGCCUGACCGAGCAACGCCGCGUGAGUGAAGAAGGUUUUCGGAUUGUAAAGCUCUGUUGUAAGGGAAGAACGGGUGUGAGAGUAUAAAGUGCUGUCUGGAAGGGACUCUAACAAGAAGCAGACGCCAAAUUACUG